RNAcentral lists this ribosomal RNA (284 nucleotides) under Roseibium sp. RKSG952. Its description in RNAcentral is "Bacterial large subunit ribosomal RNA". It matches the Rfam family "Bacterial large subunit ribosomal RNA", at positions 193 to 526 of the family's 2925-position model. Lineage: Bacteria; Pseudomonadati; Pseudomonadota; Alphaproteobacteria; Hyphomicrobiales; Stappiaceae. The record is from Rfam by way of RNAcentral.
CUGAAACAUCUAAGUACCCGGAGGAAAGGACAUCAACCGAGACUCCGCUAGUAGUGGCGAGCGAACGCGGACCAGGCCAGUGGUCAUGUUUGAAGAACCGGAACCGUCUGGAAAGUCGGGCAAUAUUGGGUGAUAGCCCCGUACGGGUAGAAACAGGCAUGAUCCUUGAGUAGGGCGGGACACGUGAAAUCCUGUCUGAACAUGGGGGGACCACCCUCCAAGCCUAAGUACUCCUUGUCGACCGAUAGUGAACAAGUACCGUGAGGGAAAGGUGAAAAGCACCC